AUACGAAAGGUGCAAGCGUUACUCGGAAUCACUGGGCGUAAAGCGCGCGCAGGCGGCUUGAUAAGGUGGAUGUGAAAGCCUACGGCUCAACCGUAGAACUGCAUCCAAAACUGUCAGGCUAGAGUGUGGGAGAGGAAGAUGGAAUUAGUUGUGUAGGGGUAAAAUCCGUAGAGAUAACUAGGAAUACCAAAAGCGAAGGCAAUCUUCUGGAACACUACUGACGCUGAGGCGCGAAGGCGUGGGGAGCAAACAGGAUUAGAAACCCGGGUAGUCC
This 274-nucleotide ribosomal RNA is filed under the name uncultured bacterium. RNAcentral's name for it is "partial 16S ribosomal RNA". It matches the Rfam family "Bacterial small subunit ribosomal RNA", at positions 523 to 796 of the family's 1533-position model. The record is from RNAcentral.